UACGUAGGGCGCGAGCGUUGUCCGGAAUUAUUGGGCGUAAAGGGCUCGUAGGCGGUUUGUCGCGUCGGGUGUGAAAACCUCGGGCUUAACUCGGGGCUUGCUUUCGAUACGGGCAGACUAGAGGUAUGCAGGGGAGAACGGAAUUCCUGGUGUAGCGGUGAAAUGCGCAGAUAUCAGGAGGAACACCGGUGGCGAAGGCGGUUCUCUGGGCAUGAUCUGACGCUGAGGAGCGAAAGUGUGGGGAGCGAACAGG
This 253-nucleotide ribosomal RNA is filed under the name uncultured bacterium. Its description in RNAcentral is "partial 16S ribosomal RNA". It matches the Rfam family "Bacterial small subunit ribosomal RNA", at positions 524 to 776 of the family's 1533-position model. The record is from RNAcentral.